CAGGUGGUGCAUGGUUGUCGUCAGCUCGUGUCGUGAGAUGUUGGGUUAAGUCCCGCAACGAGCGCAACCCUUGUCUUUAGUUGCCAUCAUUAAGUUGGGCACUCUAGAGAGACUGCCAGGGAUAACCUGGAGGAAGGUGGGGAUGACGUCAAAUCAUCAUGCCCCUUAUGCUUAGGGCUACACACGUGCUACAAUGGGUAGUACAGAGGGUUGCCAAGCCGUAAGGUGGAGCUAAUCCCUUAAAGCUACUCUCAGUUCGGAUUGUAGGCUGAAACUCGCCUACAUGAAGCUGGAGUUACUAGUAAUCGCAGAUCAGAAUGCUGCGGUGAAUGCGUUCCCGGGUCUUGUAC
This 350-nucleotide ribosomal RNA is filed under the name Clostridioides difficile. Its description in RNAcentral is "bacterial SSU rRNA". It matches the Rfam family "Bacterial small subunit ribosomal RNA", at positions 1035 to 1386 of the family's 1533-position model. Lineage: Bacteria; Bacillati; Bacillota; Clostridia; Peptostreptococcales; Peptostreptococcaceae. The record is from RNAcentral.